CAGGCCGAGAGGCGCUGCAACGGACCACCGGGUCCGCCACGCUCGGCCGGGAAUGACCAACCAAGGGCGCCUCCCGAUC
RNAcentral lists this non-coding RNA (79 nucleotides) under Amycolatopsis mediterranei. RNAcentral's name for it is "SAH sequence". It matches the Rfam family "SAH (S-adenosyl-L-homocysteine) riboswitch aptamer". Lineage: Bacteria; Bacillati; Actinomycetota; Actinomycetes; Pseudonocardiales; Pseudonocardiaceae. RNAcentral also lists the same sequence under 1 other name. The record is from RNAcentral.